RNAcentral lists this ribosomal RNA (138 nucleotides) under uncultured eukaryote. Its description in RNAcentral is "partial 18S ribosomal RNA". It matches the Rfam family "Eukaryotic small subunit ribosomal RNA", at positions 1299 to 1458 of the family's 1831-position model. The record is from RNAcentral.
UGGUGGAGUGAUUUGUCUGGUUAAUUCCGAUAACGAACGAGACCUUAACCUGCUAAAUAGUCAGGCCGGCUUUUGCUGGUCGCCGACUUCUUAGAGGGACUAUCAGCUUUUAGCUGAUGGAAGUUUGAGGCAAUAACA